GGUUGCUGGAAUAAAUCCCAAAGGAGCAAGACAUCACUGAGGAGGAUAGGAAGCCAAAAUGGUUUCUGCCAAUAUCUGGGGAAUGAUUCUUUGAGAAGGCUGCACAUUUGCCACUGAGCUCCUCGGAACCCCUGGGAUUUAGAGAGCAGAUGUAACAAGGCGUAGCAUUCUACAACCUGUAAUAAAGGAAAACCCAAGUCUUUUUAAUAUAUUUUAAACAGGAUGUUACUUUCCUAGAUUGAGCAUACCAUUUACCUUGAGAGGUACACUGUUCCCUC
RNAcentral lists this long non-coding RNA (278 nucleotides) under Homo sapiens (human). RNAcentral describes it as "HSALNT0203735". The record is from RNAcentral. Lineage: Eukaryota; Metazoa; Chordata; Mammalia; Primates; Hominidae.